Long non-coding RNA from Corapipo altera (White-ruffed manakin), 328 nucleotides. RefSeq lists it as uncharacterized. The record is from RefSeq and is a predicted model, not a curated record. NCBI's taxonomy places the organism in Eukaryota, Metazoa, Chordata, Aves, Passeriformes, Pipridae. The transcript has 3 exons.
UAAUGAAUUAAAAAUGUCCACAAGACCACCAAGAAAAAGGGAAAUAUUUAAACAUCUAAACCUCUAAAUAGUGGAAAUAUAUGUUAAUGGCUAAUCCACAGAGGAACUGAUGAUAAAUAAGCAGGGAGAAAGAGAAACUGAAGGAACAUUUCCAUCAACCAGAACCAGAAUUAAUAUGUGUGCCCAUGUAUUUGAGGGACAGAGGAAGACUUCUCUUGCUACUCAUUCAAUGAAACCACCUCCUGGAGAUUGUGAAGCCCAGCACUGGGCACACCUGCAGCAGGGACCUCUCCUCUGAGGACACAGGGCCGCAGUUCCCAGCUUUCUG